UUAUGGUCCUUAUCUUCUUUCCUUGAGCGACGUCACUGGCGGUAGCCUAAAUUAAGAACUUUUUCCCAAUCAUCAUUCACAACAGCCUUUAGAAACCCAUGCUUCACCAUGACACCUUUUGGCAUCUCGUGUGCUCCGCGCCCAUAGGCACCUCACACUCUCUUGGGACGUACCCUUUGGCAAGUACUUCUUGUCUCAAAGUACCGGCAUCUGCGCACUACUCUGUGAAUUAGAUGCUUCGUUCAAAACUCUCUCUUUCCNNNNN
RNAcentral lists this long non-coding RNA (265 nucleotides) under Capsicum annuum. Its description in RNAcentral is "long non-coding RNA (CANN_LNC013814)". Lineage: Eukaryota; Viridiplantae; Streptophyta; Magnoliopsida; Solanales; Solanaceae. The record is from RNAcentral.